CUUCCGGGCGUCGUUUGAAAUCCCUUGGGUUUGCCUGCAGAUAUGGCCUAUUUUAGGUGUGGUGGCAUUUAAAAUCAACACGCAUCAGAGGCUGAUUCUGUCUGACAACUCCAGGCUUUUAUCUCCCUGAUCCUCUCAAUCGCUCUUUUGACGUCUACAAAUCAGGAAAGUGAUCAGAGAAGAAACUGAAGCUCCAACAGUUCAAAUGUCUAAAGUCACCUACGUGGAUGAUUUGUGGAAGAAGAGGAGGGAGCAAUGAUCACAGAAUGUAAAUGCUAAGAAACUGAGGUCCAGAGCCACAGAGUGCCUUCUGCAAAGUAGUCUGAUGACUCACUUGGAUCUUUCAUACAACAAGAGAACCAAAUAAUCAGAUGAUUCCCAAUGUUCACCUGAACGUUUUACGUGACGGAAGUGCCACAAGCCACAGUCAACUAACGUUAAAUUAGUACAUCUUGGGGCAUCACAGUUACAC
Molecule: non-coding RNA, 472 nt
Organism: Delphinapterus leucas (beluga whale)
Lineage: Eukaryota; Metazoa; Chordata; Mammalia; Artiodactyla; Monodontidae
Source: RefSeq, a predicted model, not a curated record